ACACAUAAACACAUUGUCAAGAGAUUUCUUCUGGCAGUAUUACGAGAUUUCGUAAGAGUUUUUAUUUAUAUCUACCAUAUUCUUUAAUUUACUUCUCAUAUUGUGUCAGAAUGCAUAUUGCAGGUCCUCAUAAGGAGCUAGUAUUUUGCACAGGAACGUUUGCAGUCUGGUUUGAUGCUUUCUCUGGUUGGGAAAUAAGUUAGCGUCUUAGCGACAGUUCAAACUAAACUUUGUAAUGUUGAUGCUUUACAAUUUUACAUGUUUGCUACGCCAAUCUACAUACCUAAUUCUAUGUUUGCUUGUGAUCAACCAAGGAAGAAAUCAUGUUUUCAUAAUCUGCUCUCUUCAAAAUGAUAUCCAGCAUGUUUCCUUUCAUUCUCUCACGUUAAAUUAUGUGCUCAGAACAGAUAAAACUGCAGUUACUGGCUAAUCAAACACGCUUGAUUAGAAUAUUCACAUAUUUUUAUUGCUGUGUGAGCGUUGGCUUGUAUGUGUGUCUAGUAAGUACUUUGUCGUUCCUUUUAUUUUUAGGAUAAGAGAUUGUUGCACUGGGGGGUGCUUUAACUUGCAUCAUGACCUUUUUUUCCCAACUAUAUCAGAAUGACCUUGCUCAUCUUCUGUUAUACAGAUCCUUAUGUAGGCGAGAAACAGCAAUCAGUUAAAUUUGAGAAUCAACCACUGCAAAUUAGUAAGUUAUAGUUGCUCUAAACUGAUAAUUUUCAGUGUUUAUAUAUUACUUAUGGGGUAGAAAAAUGUAAUUCUUUUUAUGUACUUAUCAUGGGGAAGAAAUUUACUUAUAAAUGGACAUGUAUAUCUGACUAUUUACCAACACAAUUGAUAUAGGACAGAGGAAAUACAACUAAAUUCAUAUUCCUUGGCUCUGAGAGGGGUGAACAUAUGUCUUCUUGUUAUCAUCUCCCUUUGUUGGAGUAAAAUUGUGGAUCAAUAACUUAAAUGCUCGUUGUGGAAUCAAAUUAUGUUACAUUCUUGUCAGGUUUUUUGUGAUACCCUAUGACCCUAUUACUGACUACUGAUCAGGACCUCAAGCCCCAAGAAAAAGGAAAAUUUUGAGGAUGAGUGGUUUCAUCAACACUCUUCUUAAGUUUUAGGUCGUCUUCCUUUUCUGGAUUUCUUGUUUUAUUGGUCUAUUUUUCAUUCUUCAGUAUGAGUUGUCUUGAAAGGCAAAAACAUUUUUGUACAAGUCACACGUCUUUGUACAAAUCACAUGAGGGCCUUACCAAAAUCCUAACUGGAGAUGAUGAGUUAAAGAUAAUGAUGUUACAUUUAAAAUUCUUGCAGAUUAAUUGAGAGCUGGUAAUGGUAUUCAGUAUUCUGUGGUUACGAUUAUGUUUUAUGCAUCAGUUUAACAUUAGCAAGCUGUGGGUGGAUUCUCAAGUCUAUGGUUUUUGAAAUGCCACUAAGAAUAUUGCUUUGCAAAUUGCAGGUGGUGAGCAUUUUGC
Molecule: long non-coding RNA, 1460 nt
Filed under: Panax ginseng (ginseng)
Lineage: Eukaryota; Viridiplantae; Streptophyta; Magnoliopsida; Apiales; Araliaceae
Description: long non-coding RNA (PGIN_LNC016389)
Source: RNAcentral